GACGAACGCUGGCGGCGUGCCUAAUACAUGCAAGUAGAACGCUUAAGAGAGGCGCUUGCUCUUCUUGGAUGAGUUGCGAACGGGUGAUUAACGCGUAGGUAACCUGCCUGGUAGCGGGGGAUAACUAUUGGAAACGAUAGCUAAUACCGCAUAAAAUGGAUUAUCUCAUGAUAAUCCAUUGCAAGGUGCAAAUGCAUCACUACCAGCUGGACCUUCGUUUUAUUAGCUAGUUGGUGGGGUAACGGCUCACCAAGGCGACGAUACAUAGCCGAGCUGGGAGGGUGAUCGGGCAAACUGGGAAUGGGAAACGGCCCAGACUUCUAAGGGGAGGAGCAGGAGGGAAACUUCGGAAAUGGACGGAAGGCUUAACGAGGAACGCCGGGGGAGGGAAGAAGGGUUUCGGAUCGGAAAGCUAUGUUGUAAGAGAAGAAAGAGUGUGAGAGUAGAAAGUUCACACUGUGACGGUAUCUUAACAGAAAGGGACGGCUAACUACGUG
Molecule: ribosomal RNA, 497 nt
Filed under: uncultured bacterium
Lineage: Bacteria
Description: partial 16S ribosomal RNA
Rfam family: Bacterial small subunit ribosomal RNA
Source: RNAcentral